GGUACCGUCAAAUGCUAUGGGUAUUCGCCAUCGCACAUUUCUUCCCUAUUGACAGAGCUUUACAACUCGAAAGCCUUCAUCACUCACGCGGCGUCGCUGCAUCAGGGUUUCCCCCAUUGUGCAAAAUUCCUCA
RNAcentral lists this ribosomal RNA (133 nucleotides) under uncultured bacterium. RNAcentral describes it as "partial 16S ribosomal RNA". The record is from RNAcentral.